AUUGAACGCUGGCGGCAUGCCUUACACAUGCAAGUCGAACGGUAACAGGUCUUCGGAUGCUGACGAGUGGCGAACGGGUGAGUAAUACAUCGGAACGUGCCUAGUAGUGGGGGACAACUACUCGAAAGAGUGGCUAAUACCGCAUGAGAUCUACGGACGAAAGCAGGGGAUCGCAAGACCUUGUGCUACUAGAGCGGCCGAUGGCAGAUUAGGUAGUUGGUGGGAUAAAAGCUUACCAAGCCGACGAUCUGUAGCUGGUCUGAGAGGACGAUCAGCCACACUGGGACUGAGACACGGCCCAGACUCCUACGGGAGGCAGCAGUGGGGAAUUUUGGACAAUGGGCGCAAGCCUGAUCCAGCAAUGCCGCGUGCAGGAUGAAGGCCUUCGGGUUGUAAACUGCUUUUGUACGGAACGAAAAGCCCCGGGUUAAUACCCUGGGGUCAUGACGGUACCCUAAGAAUAAGCACCGGCUAACUACGUGCCAGCAGCCGCCGUAA
RNAcentral lists this ribosomal RNA (498 nucleotides) under uncultured bacterium. RNAcentral's name for it is "partial 16S ribosomal RNA". It matches the Rfam family "Bacterial small subunit ribosomal RNA", at positions 30 to 523 of the family's 1533-position model. The record is from RNAcentral.